UGGGGAAUUUUGCACAAUGGGGGAAACCCUGAUGCAGCGACGCCGCGUGAUUUAGAAGGCCUUCGGGUUGUAAAAAUCUUUUCUAUGGGAAGAAAAUGACAGUACCAUAGGAAUAAGGACCGGCUAAUUACGUGCCAGCAGCCGCGGUAAUACGUAAGGUCCGAGCGUUGUCCGGAAUCAUUGGGCGUAAAGGGUACGUAGGCGGGUAAGCAAGUUAGAAGUGAAAUCCUGUAGCUCAACUACAGUAAGCUUUUAAAACUGCUCAUCUUGAGAUAUGGAAGGGAAAGUGGAAUUCCUAGUGUAGCGGUGAAAUGCGCAGAUAUUAGGAGGAAUACCGGUGGCGAAGGCGACUUUCUGGCCAUAUACUGACGCUGAGGUACGAAAGCGUGGGUAGCAAACAGG
Molecule: ribosomal RNA, 402 nt
Filed under: Verrucomicrobiota bacterium
Lineage: Bacteria; Pseudomonadati; Verrucomicrobiota
Description: Verrucomicrobia bacterium partial 16S ribosomal RNA
Rfam family: Bacterial small subunit ribosomal RNA
Source: RNAcentral